This 253-nucleotide ribosomal RNA is filed under the name uncultured bacterium. RNAcentral describes it as "partial 16S ribosomal RNA". It matches the Rfam family "Bacterial small subunit ribosomal RNA", at positions 524 to 776 of the family's 1533-position model. The record is from RNAcentral.
UACAGAGGUCUCAAGCGUUGUUCGGAUUCAUUGGGCGUAAAGGGUGCGUAGGCGGCGCGGUAAGUCGGGUGUGAAAUCUUGGAGCUUAACUCCGAAACUGCAUUCGAUACUGCCGUGCUUGAGGACUGGAGAGGAGACUGGAAUUUACGGUGUAGCGGUGAAAUGCGUAGAUAUCGUAAGGAAGACCAGUGGCGAAGGCGGGUCUCUGGACAGUUCCUGACGCUGAGAAGCGAAAGCAUGGGGAGCGAACAGG